UACGGAGGGUGCAAGCGUUAUCCGGAAUCACUGGGUUUAAAGGGUGCGUAGGCGGCCCGAUAAGUCAGUCGUGAAAUCGCUGGGCUCAACCCAUGCAAUUGCGAUUGAUACUGUCAGGCUUGAAUAUGGUUGAGGCUAGCGGAAUGCGGCAUGUAGCGGUGAAAUGCUUAGAUAUGCCGCAGAACACCGAUUGCGAAGGCAGCUAGCUGGGCCUUUAUUGACGCUGAGGCACGAAAGCGUGGGGAGCAAACAGG
This 254-nucleotide ribosomal RNA is filed under the name uncultured bacterium. RNAcentral's name for it is "partial 16S ribosomal RNA". It matches the Rfam family "Bacterial small subunit ribosomal RNA", at positions 524 to 776 of the family's 1533-position model. The record is from RNAcentral.